Molecule: long non-coding RNA, 3428 nt
Organism: Ruditapes philippinarum (Manila clam)
Lineage: Eukaryota; Metazoa; Mollusca; Bivalvia; Venerida; Veneridae
Exons: 2
Source: RefSeq, a predicted model, not a curated record
UCGUGCUGUUAAGAGAGGCAUUUUAUACAAACAUGUGGAGAAAGACAACAUCAAUCAAUUGGUUAUACCAAAGUGCUAUAGACAUGAUAUUAUCAGGACUUCAUGAUAACGUAUGUCAUUCGGGUAGAGAAAGAACUCUCGCUUUACUUCGUGACCAAUUAUGUCUAUUAAUGUCGACAAUUGGGUUUCGAAAUGUAACAGAUGUCUCCGAAGGAAAACAAACACCAACACACGUGCACCAUUGAUCAAUAUUGAAACAACAUACCCACUUGAGAUGGUCUGCAUGGAUUACUUAACACUUAGUGCCAAGGGAGGUACAGCAAACAUCCUUGUUAUUACAGACCAUUUCAUGAAAUUUGCAAUGACAAUACCCACAAAAAAUCAAAAUGCGAAAACAACUGCAAAAGCACUUUACAACAUUUUCAUAGUUCAUUAUGGAAUCCCGACAUCUAUUCAUUCUGAUCAAGGAGCAAAUUUCCAGUCUGAAAUCAUGAAAGAACAUCACCAAUAAGAAAAAGUCAAGAACUUCAGUCUAUCACCCAAUGGAAGAUGGAGUCUGUGAACGAUUUAACCGAACGUUAUUAGACAUGUUAGGCACCUAAGAAACAUCUCAAAAAACUGAUUGGAAGAAACAUAUACCAUCUUUAGUCUAUGCCUACAACAGCACGCCACAUGAAACCACUAAGAUCUCGCCAUAUGAAUUAAUGUUUGGCAGAAAAGCAAAUUACCCAUUGAUUCAGUGUUUGCUCAAGCUACAGAAGAAACAACAUCAAAAACACCAACAGAAUAUAUAGAUGACCUCAAGAAUUAUAUUAGCGCAACAAGACAGACAGUAGAAGAACAUACAAAAAGAGAAAAGGAGAAACAAAAGAAAUAUUUUGAGAGAAAGGCUAAAGCAGGAACAAUUUCAGUGGAAAUCAAGGUGUUAGUGAAUAUAUUGAAAUAUGAUGAUAAACACACGAUUGCAGAUAAAUUUGAAGAAAAGCUUUUUGAUGUUAUAGACCAGCCUUUACCAGAUAUACCAGUGUUAAAGGUAAAGUCAGAACAUAAUGGUAUUAUAAAGACAUUACACAGGAAUCAUUAGUAUCUAGUACAAGAACACAUCAGAAGUGGUUCGGAAGAGUUAAAUAUGAGAAUUGAAAAUGUAGAGAGUGUGAGCAAUAAUGAAUACAGAGCGGUACCGAAAAUCAGAAUGUCUUCCAACAAAGACACAAAGAUAGGAAGUGAAGGAUCAAAUAAAAGAGAGAGCGAAACAAAAGAUAAAAGUAAAGGUGACGUCACAAAAAACGAAUCAGAGAAUUCAGAAGAUACAGAUUCAGAUUGGGAGCAGUUAUGUAUUUUAUACAUGCGGCAGUGGGGACGCCCAUAAAAAUCCAAAGAAGAACAGGGAUGAUAAUAAUUUUAUAGAAGUAGAACAAAAGAACAACUAAAAUGAUUGUAAUACGAAGACUCAUGAACAUACUGACUCUAAAGAAGAAGACCAUAGUGAUCAAGAGCUAGGAGUAGAUAUUGAGGACGGUGUGGAGAGUGUUGGAGCAGACACUUUACUAGAUGAGGAACCACAAGAAACAUUACAUCAGGAAAUAGAGGAAACAACAGAGGAAUUAAAAGAUUCAAAUGAACACAGUAUUGAACAUACCGAUUAUGACAUUCCUGAACCAAGUCAUAUAGUGGAUUCUUAUGACAGUGAUAUAGAAAAUACUGAGAUAAAGUAAAUAGAGGUGGAGAAUGAACAAAACAUACACAUGAGGAACAAAAUACACAUGAUGAACAUAGUACACAGAAUGAUCAACAUAUUGAAACUGAAGAAAGACAAGGAAUUGAAAAUAGAGAGGAAACCCUUCUACCUUAACCUACUCCUAGAAAGUCUAAAAGAGAGAGAAGACAACCAAAAUGGUUUGACUCCUAUCAAAUAAACCGGAUGGUGCGGUGAGACCGUAUGACUCUAAGCUUCAUGCUUUAAAUGUACUUAUGACAUCAGGAGUACUCAAUGAUGUGGAUUCUGAAGUAGCACAUAAAGUUGUAGACGAGGAAAUGAAUGAUUUUGAAAUGUUUUGUCGAAAUACAAAUUUUGCAUUGAAAUGAAAUGUACAAAUAAAGAUUAAAUGUCCUUACUUAAGGCAUACAUUUAUCUAUGUUUAUGAUUUCUGAAAAGACAGAAUUACAAGGUUGCAAUUCAGAGAGAGGGGAUAAAAUAAUAUAUGUUUAACCAGUUUUAAAAUUAAAUCACAUCAUUUUUUAUUUAUUAAAUAAGUAAAAUUUGAUGAUUUAUUUAAUUAUUUAUUAGUUUUAAGUCAUUUAAUAAUACUAAAUAAAUUUAAUGAUGUGUACAAUUCAGGUCUAAAAUCAAAAUCAAAGAAUGAUUUAAUGUUAUAUUGCGUAAUCAAUUACUUGUGGAUAAGGGUCACCAGUAAAAGUUGUGUGUCAAUUGUACGGUGCAACAUAAAGCUUUAAAUAGGGUGGAAAGGAGUAGAGAUAAACUAUAUAUUGUUAUGUAGUUGAUUUUUGUACGAGACACGGUUAUUGACUUGUGACUAAGACGGACCUGAUUGAAUGACGAGACGUCAUUUUCCAAGGAGGGGAAGUGUGUAACAGGGUCAUCUUUUCGUGUUUUAGAUAUAGUUGGGUUGAUUUGAGUUACUUCCCUUGUAUUAUUAUUUUUAAUUGUAUUUUUGACCAAUCAGAUGAUCGCUUUGAAUUUCCCUCCAAAUGUGUUUAGUUUUAUGAUUUUUGCGGGAGUUGAAAAUAGAGAAUAAUUGGGUUUAUGAUUUGUUUUAUUCGUUUUAUGGAUUUGGAAUAGGUAUUAUGGUAUAUUUUAAAGUUUAUUGUUGGGCAAUAACUACUAUAUUUCAUGUAAACAGUGUAAAUUUAUUUGGAGAAGUAAAUUCAUGAUUUUCAUGUUUUUAGAAUUUGAGUAAAGAAUUGAGAUGGUUCAGAAAUAGCAUUCCUUUUUAACUUCACUUAACUCUUUGUCGUGCACAUUGUUCUUAAUAAUAUGCAUUCUUUAUUUGAUAAUUUGCAGCACCCAAUCACUGUGUGAAUGAAGUGUUUGUUGAUUGGAGUAAAGUUAAUUAGAUGGUUUGAGAUUGUUUAGAGCAUACAAUUCCACAAAAUGUGUGCUGGACUUGUUAACUAAGUUCUCAAGUUGACUGUUGAUAAAAGUGGAAGCAAAGUGCAGAAACAGUGAAUUUAUGGUUUGAGACAUUUUAAGAGUAAUACAGUGUUGAUUUAUAUUCAUUUGUUUAUCAACAUAGUAACACAAUGAACUAUUAAUAAAUCUAUAUGUGCACCCAAGCCUAUUUCGAUUUGUAAUAUUUUAUUUAGAUGCAAAAUAACCAUAGGUUGAAUUAUAAAUAUUAGUUUAUUAUGUGAUGCACUGAUGAAGGCAUAUAGCAGAAACGUGUACAAUAAAUAAUUACUAAAUGUUG